GGCCAAAUAGCUUAGUCGUUAAAGCACUUGCUUUGUAAGUGUGAGGAACUGAGUUCGAUCCCCAGGGCCU
Molecule: transfer RNA, 70 nt
Filed under: Neotoma lepida (desert woodrat)
Lineage: Eukaryota; Metazoa; Chordata; Mammalia; Rodentia; Cricetidae
Rfam family: tRNA
About the family: Transfer RNA (tRNA) molecules are approximately 80 nucleotides in length.
Source: Rfam by way of RNAcentral